RNAcentral lists this ribosomal RNA (186 nucleotides) under uncultured bacterium. Its description in RNAcentral is "partial 16S ribosomal RNA". It matches the Rfam family "Bacterial small subunit ribosomal RNA", at positions 1314 to 1500 of the family's 1533-position model. The record is from RNAcentral.
GCCUUCAUGAAGCCGGAAUUGCUAGUAAUGGCAGGUCAGCAUACUGCCGUGAAUACGUUCCCGGGCCUUGUACACACCGCCCGUCACACCAUGAGAGUUGGGAAUACCCGAAGCCUGUGAGCUAACAUUAAGAGGCAGCAGUCGAAGGUAGAAUCAAUGAUUGGGGUGAAGUCGUAACAAGGUAUC